RNAcentral lists this long non-coding RNA (463 nucleotides) under Physcomitrium patens. Its description in RNAcentral is "long non-coding RNA (PPAT_LNC012385)". Lineage: Eukaryota; Viridiplantae; Streptophyta; Bryopsida; Funariales; Funariaceae. The record is from RNAcentral.
GUAGAAGGGAGUAUGGAGAUUCGCCAAUAGUCAAGCAGUCUAUCAGUUUUUGACUUCUGGAAUAUAAAUGACUGCAAGAAUACACUGUAAAUCUAUACGGAUGCCCUUUGACUGCUCGCCGAAGUCCUUUUUGUCCCAGCCGGUAGGUCUCUAGAUGUUACAGAGAACCCCGAACAACCCAAACUGCUAAUCUUCGAUACCGCUUUAUACUCACGAUCUUGUAUCCAUUGACUGUCUUGUUAGAUUAACCCAAUAAAUUUCAUUCACUCCGCAUACUCAAUCCUAUAGACAUCCUUUUAACUCUUCAUCACAGACGUAACUCGAUUUCACAAAACAGUCAAGAGUAUUCAAACCCACUUCAUUAAAAAUCCCGAUUCACCAUUACAACACUGACUUCAGCAACGAUUGCCUCAGUCUUCCCAAAAUCCUAUGAAGAAAAAAAACCCAAUUCUCUGUCUUCUUU